RNAcentral lists this ribosomal RNA (375 nucleotides) under uncultured bacterium. RNAcentral's name for it is "bacterial SSU rRNA". It matches the Rfam family "Bacterial small subunit ribosomal RNA", at positions 521 to 896 of the family's 1533-position model. The record is from RNAcentral.
UAAUACGUAGGGGGCCAGCGUUGUUCGGAAUUACUGGGUGUAAAGGGUUCGUAGGCGGUGCGGCAAGUUGGGAGUGAAAUCUCUGGGCUCAACCCAGAGACGGCUUCCAAAACUGCUGUGCUUGAGUGUGAGAGAGGCUCGUGGAAUUGCAGGUGUAGCGGUGAAAUGCGUAGAUAUCUGCAGGAACACCCGUGGCGAAAGCGGCGAGCUGGAUCACUACUGACGCUGAAGAACGAAAGCUAGGGGAGCAAACAGGAUUAGAUACCCUGGUAGUCCUAGCCCUAAACGAUCAGGACUUGGGGUGCCACCCGUUCGGGUGGCGUCCCGGAGCUAACGCGUUAAGUCCUGCACCUGGGGAGUACGGUCGCAAGACUG